Molecule: ribosomal RNA, 460 nt
Filed under: uncultured bacterium
Lineage: Bacteria
Description: partial 16S ribosomal RNA
Rfam family: Bacterial small subunit ribosomal RNA
Source: RNAcentral
CCUACGGGUGGCAGCAGUGAGGAAUAUUGGUCAAUGGGCGCGAGCCUGAACCAGCCAAGUCGCGUGAAGGAUGACUGCCCUACGGGUUGUAAACUUCUUUUAUAAAGGAAUAAAGUCAGGCACGUGUGCCUUUUUGUAUGUACUUUAUGAAUAAGGCUCGGCUAACUGCGUGCCAGCAACCGCGGUAAUACGGAGGAUCCGAGCGUUAUCCGGAUUUAUUGGGUUUAAAGGGAGCGUAGAUGGGUUGUUAAGUCAGUGGUGAAAGUUUGCGGCUUAACCGUAAAAUUGCAAUUGAUACUGGGAGUCUUGAGUGCAGUUGAGGUAGGCGGAAUGCGUGGUGUAGCGGUGAAAUGCUUAGAUAUCACGAAGAACGCCGAUUGCGAAGGCAGCUUACUAAACUGCCACUGACAUUGAGGCUCGAAAGUGUGGGGAUCAAACAGGAUUAGAUACCCUAGUAGUC